This is a long non-coding RNA of Triticum aestivum (bread wheat), 647 nucleotides long. RefSeq lists it as uncharacterized. The transcript is spliced from 4 exons. Lineage: Eukaryota; Viridiplantae; Streptophyta; Magnoliopsida; Poales; Poaceae. The record is from RefSeq and is a predicted model, not a curated record.
AGAAUGGAUAUCCCCCACGUAGAGAUGAAGAGGUUGUUAUAACACACACUACUAAAAAAGGAGUUCCUUCCAAUGCGGCAGCGGCACAAAAAAUUAAAGAGCUAGAGAACAAAGCAAAUGAACAACCGGAAUUGUUAGAAAAAACCAUAGAGCAAGGCGAUCUUUUUUCGCAUGUAUUUGGAAAGGAGAGGAAUGGAUAUGUUCGCUGUAUAGGCAUGGGGCCAAGUGCAUCAGAUCUACGCAUGCCUGGAACUAGAAAAUUGAAAUCAACAAGGCUCCAACUGGCUGAGGAAGAAUGUCGACAAGCUAUGGAAGAGGCUGCACUUUUAAGGGAGCGUGUGGAAGCAACCGAUCGAAAAUGGACAUUGUUAUGAACGAAGUCCUAGAGAUGAAAAAUAUGAUGUUAGCUUCUCAGGCUAAAGAAAAGGAGCAAUUCAGUCCACACUAUGAUUCCAAUUCUGCACAAGACGAGUAUAUUUAUGAUGAAGGCGAAAAUAGUGAGACUGGGUACAUGGCUGCUGAAAAGGAGGAUGGUCACGUGAUGUCAAAUAGACCAAUGGUAGAAAGUCAACCAAAACUCACACAACAGAAGAAGCAAGUGCUGGUCCAACAGAUGAAUCAACAACUAGAUCAUCAAAACACAACCG